Molecule: long non-coding RNA, 1042 nt
Filed under: Scophthalmus maximus (turbot)
Lineage: Eukaryota; Metazoa; Chordata; Actinopteri; Pleuronectiformes; Scophthalmidae
Description: lncRNA (ENSSMAG00000034075.1)
Source: RNAcentral
AAAUGAUUAAGAUAACUACAAGACUUUCCCUUAAAAGCAUUUACAAAAAAUGAGUGGGAUCUCUUUGAGCCAUUGUCAAUGUGGCACUGACUCUUGUUAUUGUGUCAGCCCUGUUACAAAAAAACGUGUUUCAGGAGCAAAUGUUAAAAACAGCAGUAGCACAAUUUGAAUAGCCUGCCCAAGUGAUUUUUUUAUCGUGCACAAGGUAAAAUUCAGCCUGGAUGAAAACAACCAAAAUGCAACAGUCACUGUGAAUCUGUGUAAUUACACUAGAAGUAUAUAGGUAUAUUUAUGUACUUUCUUGCAAACAUGCAUUUUGGUGUUCCUGCCUGACAACCUAUGAUCUACAUCUCAUUGUUUUGAGACAAAAGAAUAACUAAAAUGUAUUGUUAAGGAUUGGUGCAAUGAGUGAGGAGCUGGAGACUUCUGAAAGGAUGAAGAGGAAAAUGAUCUACACAAACUUCAUUCAGGUCUACCUCUCAAGAGAGAACUUAUCAGGUAAAAAGACAAGGAUCUGUGCUCAAUGUGUCAAAGAAGAUUAAUCAAAUCGUAUACAGUAAUAUGAGGGAUUAAAUGGGAAGAUAAGAAGAAAUAAGAAUUACAUUUGAAUGCACAUUCAAAACAUGGUCAAGAACAUUUGAUGUAGAGAUCAUUUAGAGAAACAUGUACAACUCGACCUUGUUGACAUACAAUUCUUUUUGAAAAUCUCUUUUAUACUAAAUUUCCAGAACCUGGAUGUACCAGAAACGUGAAUGGGAGUGCAGAAUGGCUGCAGAGAUACCUGGGAAAGUUUUUAGUCUAUGCAAGUCUUGAGGAUCUUAAAGAAAUGAACGCCCAUUUCAGAGCAGAAGAAGUUUUGGGUAAACUUUCACCAAACCAGAAGGCUGAGCUGAUCCUGAUCCUUGAUCCAAACAGCGGCGCUUUGCAGAAUGAGACCAUCGUACGGGAGGUGUUCAAAAGCUUGAACAAGUCCCACAAUGACGAGCAGCUCGGUCAGUUUUUCCUGGCUUUUACAGUCAUCAACAAGAAGGUGAGUGCUUGA